AUUGAACGCUGGCGGCAGGCCUAACACAUGCAAGUCGAGCGGAUGAAGGGAGCUUGCUCCUGGAUUCAGCGGCGGACGGGUGAGUAAUGCCUAGGAAUCUGCCUGGUAGUGGGGGAUAACGUCCGGAAACGGGCGCUAAUACCGCAUACGUCCUGAGGGAGAAAGUGGGGGAUCGUCGGACCUCACGCUAUCAGAUGAGCCUAGGUCGGAUUAGCUAGUUGGUGGGGUAAAGGCCUACUAAGGCGACGAUCCGUAACUGGUCUGAUAGGAGGAUUAGUCGCACUGGAACUGGGACACGGUCCAGACUCCUACGGGAGGCAGCAGUGGGGAAUAUUGGACAAUGGGCGAAAGCCUGAUCCAGCCAUGCCGCGUGUGUGAAGAAGGUCUUCGGAUUGUAAAGCACUUUAAGUUGGGAGGAAGGGCAGUAAGUUAAUACCUUGCUGUUUUGACGUUACCAACAGAAUAAGCACCGGCUAACUUCGUG
This 484-nucleotide ribosomal RNA is filed under the name uncultured bacterium. RNAcentral's name for it is "partial 16S ribosomal RNA". It matches the Rfam family "Bacterial small subunit ribosomal RNA", at positions 30 to 507 of the family's 1533-position model. The record is from RNAcentral.